Molecule: ribosomal RNA, 468 nt
Filed under: uncultured bacterium
Lineage: Bacteria
Description: partial 16S ribosomal RNA
Rfam family: Bacterial small subunit ribosomal RNA
Source: RNAcentral
GACGAACGCUGGCGGCGUGCUUAACACAUGCAAGUCGAACGGAAAGGCCCUGCUUUUGUGGGGUGCUCGAGUGGCGAACGGGUGAGUAACACGUGAGUAACCUGCCCUUGACUUUGGGAUAACUUCAGGAAACUGGGGCUAAUACCGGAUAGGAGCUCCUGCUGCAUGGUGGGGGUUGGAAAGUUUCGGCGGUUGGGGAUGGACUCGCGGCUUAUCAGCUUGUUGGUGGGGUAGUGGCUUACCAAGGCUUUGACGGGUAGCCGGCCUGAGAGGGUGACCGGCCACAUUGGGACUGAGAUACGGCCCAGACUCCUACGGGAGGCAGCAGUGGGGAAUAUUGUACAAUGGGCGGAAGCCUGAUGCAGCAACGCCGCGUGCGGGAUGACGGCCUUCGGGUUGUAAACCGCUUUCGCCUGUGACGAAGCGUGAGUGACGGCAAUGGGUAAAGAAGCACCGGCUAACUACGUG